RNAcentral lists this transfer RNA (75 nucleotides) under Chlamydia serpentis. RNAcentral describes it as "Chlamydia sp. H15-1957-10C tRNA-Met(cat)". It matches the Rfam family "tRNA". From Rfam's summary of the family: Transfer RNA (tRNA) molecules are approximately 80 nucleotides in length. Their secondary structure includes four short double-helical elements and three loops (D, anti-codon, and T loops). Further hydrogen bonds mediate the characteristic L-shaped molecular structure. tRNAs have two regions of fundamental functional importance: the anti-codon, which is responsible for specific mRNA codon recognition, and the 3' end, to which the tRNAs corresponding amino acid is attached (by aminoacyl-tRNA synthetases). tRNAs cope with the degeneracy of the genetic code in two manners: having more than one tRNA (with a specific anti-codon) for a particular amino acid; and 'wobble' base-pairing, i.e. permitting non-standard base-pairing at the 3rd anti-codon position. Lineage: Bacteria; Pseudomonadati; Chlamydiota; Chlamydiia; Chlamydiales; Chlamydiaceae. The record is from RNAcentral.
UCGCGGGAUAGAGUAGAGGUCAUCUCGUUGGGCUCAUAACCCAAAGGUCGGAGGUUCGAAUCCUUCUCCCGCUAU